GUGGGGAAUAUUGGACAAUGGGCGCAAGCCUGAUCCAGCCAUGCCGCGUGCAGGAAGACGCAUCUAUGGUGUGUAAACUGCUUUUGUACGGGAAGAAACACUCCCUCGUGAGGGAGCUUGACGGUACCGUAAGAAUAAGGAUCGGCUAACUCCGUGCCAGCAGCCGCGGUAAUACGGAGGAUCCAAGCGUUAUCCGGAAUCAUUGGGUUUAAAGGGUCCGUAGGCGGUUUAAUAAGUCAGGUGUGAAAGCCCAUCGCUCAACGAUGGAACGGCCAUUGAUACUGUUAGACUUGAAUUACAAGGAAGUAACUAGAAUAUGUAGUGUAGCGGUGAAAUGCUUAGAUAUUACAUGGAAUACCAAUUGCGAAGGCAGGUUACUACUUGUGGAUUGACGCUGAUGGACGAAAGCGUGGGGAGCGAACAGGAUUAGAAACCCUGGUAGUCC
This 445-nucleotide ribosomal RNA is filed under the name uncultured bacterium. Its description in RNAcentral is "partial 16S ribosomal RNA". It matches the Rfam family "Bacterial small subunit ribosomal RNA", at positions 354 to 796 of the family's 1533-position model. The record is from RNAcentral.